CUAAGCAUAUCAAUAAGCGGAGGAAAAGAAACCAACAGGGAUUGCCCUAGUAACGGCGAGUGAAGCGGCAACAGCUCAAAUUUGAAAUCUGGCCCCUUUGGGGUCCGAGUUGUAAUUUGCAGAGGGUGCUUUGGCGUUGGCGGCGGUCUAAGUUCCUUGGAACAGGACAUCGCAGAGGGUGAGAAUCCCGUAUGUGGUCGCAUGCCUUCGCCGUGUAAAGCCCCUUCGACGAGUCGAGUUGUUUGGGAAUGCAGCUCUAAAUGGGAGGUAAAUUUCUUCUAAAGCUAAAUACCGGCCAGAGACCGAUAGCGCACAAGUAGAGUGAUCGAAAGAUGAAAAGCACUUUGGAAAGAGAGUCAAACAGCACGUGAAAUUGUUGAAAGGGAAGCGCUUGCAGCCAGACUUGCCUGUAGUUGCUCACCCGGGCUCCUGCCCGGGGCACUCUUCUGCAGGCAGGCCAGCAUCAGUUUGGGCGGUCGGAUAAAGGGCUCUGACACGUACUUCCCCUCGGGGUUGACAUACAGGGGAGCCGCAAUGCGACCAGCCCGGACUGAGGUCCGCGCAUCUGCUAGGAUGCUGGCGUAAUGGCUGUAAGCGGCCCGUCUUGAAACACGGACCAAGGAGUCUAACAUCUAUGCGAGUGUUUGGGUGUCAAGCCCGAGCGCGUAAUGAAAGUGAACGGAGGUGGGAGCCCCUCGGGGUGCACCAUCGACCGAUCCUGAUGUCUUCGGAUGGAUUUGAGUAAGAGCAUAGCUGUUGGGACCCGAAAGAUGGUGAACUAUGCUUGAAUAGGGUGAAGCCAGAGGAAACUCUGGUGGAGGCUCGCAGCGGUUCUGACGUGCAAAUCGAUCGUCAAAUUUGGGCAUAGGGGCGAAAGACUAAUCGAACUAUCUAGUAGC
This 899-nucleotide ribosomal RNA is filed under the name Periconia macrospinosa. Its description in RNAcentral is "partial large subunit ribosomal RNA". It matches the Rfam family "Eukaryotic large subunit ribosomal RNA", at positions 34 to 951 of the family's 3401-position model. The record is from RNAcentral. Lineage: Eukaryota; Fungi; Ascomycota; Dothideomycetes; Pleosporales; Periconiaceae.